This is a long non-coding RNA of Gracilinanus agilis (Agile Gracile Mouse Opossum), 575 nucleotides long. RefSeq lists it as uncharacterized. NCBI's taxonomy places the organism in Eukaryota, Metazoa, Chordata, Mammalia, Didelphimorphia, Didelphidae. The transcript is spliced from 3 exons. The record is from RefSeq and is a predicted model, not a curated record.
AUUACCGAGUGUUUUUGCUUCUCUAUCUCUUCGUGCUUGUUAACUGUCAGUAUCCUUUGUUUUUAAAAUGUUUUGAUAAUAACAUAAUAAAUGUUUGCUAUAUGGGCAAAAAACAAACAAAAAAACCCCUUAAGUUUGUAAAUUAGUCUAGCUGGCUUAUAGAACAUUUUAACACCCUUUUAUUCUUAUGCCUAUAUAUCUCCCCUGUGAAAUACUGGGAAUCAAAUUUCCUGGGAAGAUUUAGGGGCAUCCUGCUUUCUGACAUCUUGUUAAUAGCUCACCCAAUACUUGAAAUCAAGAUCAUUUAUUUCCAGCUGCAAAGAUGAUAUCUGUGAACUGACAGUAGUGGAGUCCUGUCUCAAGGGAAAAGCUGGGAGAGUUAUUUUGGCAUGGGCUAAGAAUGAUCUCCAGAAAUUGAUUCAGAGCAAAAUGAGCAGAACCAGGGGAACAUUGUACACAGAGACUGAUACACUUGGGCACAGUUGAAUGUGGACUUCUCAACUAGCAGCAUUGAAAUGAUCCAGGACAAUUCUGAGGGACUUAUGAGAAAGAAUACUACUCACCUCCAGAGAAAG